Psammomys obesus (fat sand rat) is the source of this 740-nucleotide long non-coding RNA. RefSeq lists it as uncharacterized. NCBI's taxonomy places the organism in Eukaryota, Metazoa, Chordata, Mammalia, Rodentia, Muridae. The transcript is spliced from 3 exons. The record is from RefSeq and is a predicted model, not a curated record.
CCACUGGCUGCCUGUACUUGGUGCCGCAUCGCACACACAAGGAGAAACUGCUUGAGGGAGCAGUUGGCGCUGUGGUUCCUGGGGUAGCCAGAGGUGGACCUAAGGUGUGUUUACAUAUGUGCACCCUGUCUAUGCUGUGCCUGUGGAAGCCGGAAGAGAGUAUCAGAUUUCCCGAAAUUGGAGUUACACAGAUGGUUGUGAGUUUCCAUGUGGGUGCUGGCAACUGAACCCGGGUCCUCCGCAAGAGCAGCAAGUGCUCUUAACUGUCAAGCCAUCGCUCCAGCCCUGGUAACUUCUAAUAAACAGGGAGAGAAGAAACCAUCCUCCACCGCAUGCAAACAUACCUCUCUGGCUGUGUUUUGAGACAGUCUCCCACUCAGCCUGGAGCUCACAGAUUUGACUGCAGACUAGCCAGCCAUCUCCAGAGACCCUCCUGUCUCCAUGUCCCCUGUGUUGGGAUUACAAGUGUGUGCCACCACGCCUGGCUUCUUACACGCCUGUGCGGCAAGCAUGUUACCGAGUGAACCAUCUCCUAACCUCCCUACCUGGCAAUGGCGGUAAGAAAAACUGACCCAAGGAGAUGUUCAACACUUACGAGGUGGAAGACGGUGCUAAUGAGUGUUUCUUGAAGGAAUUCAGAAGGAUAACAUAGAAGCCUAAUGACCACGUAUGGUGGCAUAAUUUCAAUUUUUUUUUCAAAUGUGUAAGAGUGUAUUAAAAAUAAAUUAUUGACGUCUUCA